RNAcentral lists this ribosomal RNA (271 nucleotides) under uncultured archaeon. RNAcentral's name for it is "partial 16S ribosomal RNA". It matches the Rfam family "Archaeal small subunit ribosomal RNA", at positions 477 to 747 of the family's 1478-position model. The record is from RNAcentral.
CAGCGCCACGAGUGGCAAUCGCGAUUAUUGGGCCUAAAGCGUCCGUAGCCGGUUCAGUAAAUCCUUUGUGAAAUCGCCAGGCUUAACCUGGCGGCGUGCAGGGGACACUGCUGAACUCGAGACCGGGAGGAGUUAGAAGUAUUUUGGGGGGAGCGGUAAAAUGCUAUAAUCCCCGAAGGACUACCUAUGGCGAAGGCAUCUAACUAGAACGGAUCUGACGGUGAGGGACGAAAGCCAGGGGAGCGAACCGGAUUAGAUACCCGAGUAGUCC